UGUUCUGUCCCUCCUCCUUGUACCAGUGGCUACUACCCAAAGGGAAAAGAAGGCAGAAUUUGGCAGGUGAGAGUACCCCUUUAAGAGCAGAGCAUGAUGGGAGCCCCUGCAGGGUAUAAAACAGAGCACUAAGGGCUUGCACAUGCUCUGGGGGUGACUAGGAUGAUGGGGAAUGUAAUGCCUGAAUCUUGGGUAUUGAACCAGGUCCUUCAAAGCUGCCCCACAAGCCUCAGUAUCUUGAGCCGAAGAGCUAAGUGAUGGCAAAUCCUAUGGAUUGAGGAGAAGACCCUGGCGUUGUGGAUGCUCUUGUGAGAUACCUGACUCUGCCAAUCGCUAGAGGGAUUUGAUGCUACAGGGAAGCCUGCCUCCAGGACCAGGAUUUGGGUUUGGAUCUGGUUCUCGUGCAGUCCUUGGUCCCGGUGCCCGGCGCGUGGAAAACCCCACCAGAUCGGAGUUCCUUUGCAUUGGGGUAGGGGACAGCAUGAGAUGCAAGGUGACAUGACUUGGAUCCAGGCUCUCCCUCCAUCCCAGGACCUCCUGGACUUUCAGUGUGGGGAGUGUGUGUGAGAUCUUUUCUUCCUGGGUCCAGACUAGCUUGUUUCUCCCUCCGGGCAGCUCUGCCCAGCUUUGCUCUGCGAAGGGCCAUUGCGUUAGACGCUCAGGACAGCAUCAAAUGUGAGCACGGCCCUUCGCGCCGCUUUAGCUGGGCUCCUGCUGACUGCUCCGUUCCCCUCUACCCCCGUGCAGUGUGACCCUGGCUGGGAUUUCCCUGCAGAGACAGGAAUGCUAUUUAUUUAUCCCCAGGAGCUGUUAGCCCGUCUCUAGCCAUCGCCCCAGCUGGCACAACGGAUGGCAAAUGGCUCAAGGUUCUGUAGCCGUUGGAUGCUGGGCAGACCAGAGCCAGAAACAGAAUGGAUCUGGGUUCCUAGCACCUUCAUGCCAUGGUGCCUUCUCCCCAUGUUCGCUCAUUAGCUGGUUGCUGCUGGACUCGCUCGCCUGCUUGUGCCUUGAUCUCGCGUGGAGCAACCAAGAGCAGCCAUUCUGGGGGCAACCAGAAAAGCCAAACCCAGUUGCUUCCCCCGCAGCCUGGAUCGGGACCAAGGCAGAGAAAACCAAUCUAAUAAGCAAUCCUGAACCUGGCCAGGGAAACCGAUCAACCAAAUGGCUGAUGUAAAUCCCUGGAAGGAAAAGGUGGCAAGUUCAAAACCGAACAAAGGAAAGACCUCUUCACCCAAUGGGGGAUUGGCCUGGGGAACUCAUUGCCACUGGAUGAUUUUGAGGCAAAGAAUGUAACAAGAUUUUAAAAAGGAACUGGGCAUUUACAUGGAUAUCGAGCCUAUCCAGGUUUAUAAUUCGUGAUGACACAGUUGUAGAAGGGAUAUUGAAUUUCUGGUGUCAGGGCUUAAACUGAGCUCUGUUAGAGAUCAGAAUGAGGCCUGGUGUGUGUGUGUUUGUGGGGGGCAGAUUAGCCCACACUUGAAA
Chelonia mydas (Green sea turtle) is the source of this 1482-nucleotide long non-coding RNA. RefSeq lists it as uncharacterized. The transcript is spliced from 4 exons. The record is from RefSeq and is a predicted model, not a curated record. Lineage: Eukaryota; Metazoa; Chordata; Testudines; Cheloniidae.